GGCCACUCCAAGUUCCACCUCUUCCACGAAGCCCUCCUUGAUUGCUGGGCCCUGGUUGAACUCCUUAUUAGUAACACCCAGGUUAGUCCUACUUAAUUCUUACCUGCAGCCAAAGUGGACUUAGCAUCUCCUUGCAUGCCUGGUAAAGUCAAGGGUUUUCAGCCAGGGCCUGUGUAUAAAGCAGAAGCAGCACAGAGUCUGGUUUGAAGCUUAGUGCUUGGGUUCAGACAGUUGUGGGUUACAAUCCCUUCUACACAUGUUCUCUGUGGAAACCAUUUGGUUCUCUGUGCUUGGAACUCGCCUGCAACGGGACAAAGCCAUCUCACCUAGACUGUUGUUAUGAAGAUUGAAUUAGGUGAUUCUGAGAGGCAUUUAUGCGUCCUCCCUGAGUAACAAUCCAUGAAAAGUGGGCGUCAUUGCUGAAGCUCAAGGAAGAAAUAUGAAAUUUGAUUAUAUCCUUAUUCACGGCAUUGGGUCACCAACUCAGCACUUUUUAUGAAAGUAGCAUCUGACCUGGCAAAGGCUGUGUCAUCUUAUUACCUCAGAAAGACAAAUUUACGGGGUCAGACGAUGGAUGGCUUGUAGAUUUCUCAAUGGGCUGGAAGGAAGGAGAGAAAAAGAGAGACAGGAGAGAGUACACAUUUAAUUCUGCUUCCCCUAGGGUGAUAUUUCCUUCCUCCCCUUCCAGGGUUCUCAAAAAGGCAUUCUAGGAAGUCCUGUAAAAUACAUGCUCAUAAAAAUCUCAUAAUUUCCACAAAUUGUUGAGAAUUUAAAACUCGGUUGGGAGUUUGCUGUUUCAGCCUGAGACACCGGGGUCACGUUUCAGUGCCUGCAGUCUUGAGACAGUACCAGGCAUCUGGGAUGAAGCUGAGGAAAGAAGAUGUGGGGGCCCUGCUGGCCUGCUCCUUCUCUCGAAAGACGCUUACCGGCUGCUGGUGUGUCACAGGGCUUUAGGAUUUGGAAAAACAGAGGGAUUUAAAAGAAGAUAGAAUGGUCAGAAUUUCGAGAACUGUGUGCUGAAGUGCCAUCUUUAGGGUGCUCAUAACACGGCCUUACAACAUUAGAGGUGCUGGAAUCAUGGAAGAGGCAUCUGGACUCUGUAAUGUCCUUCCCCCUGGAAAAUCUGCUCCAGAAGUGGGGGAUUGGGAGCUGUCAACAUAUGAGCCAUCUUUUGCUCCGUUCAAGAUGGUAGGGGCAUUCUCAACAUGCCCCUCACUCUGAUUCUGCCUCACUUUUAUUUUAGAAUUUUCCACUGCCUUUUCUGGAAUGUGCUUUUUCAACCCUCAAAAUCUGUAGAGAAGAAAUAAGCAGAAACCGAAAUGGCUUUCUGGUGUUCUCCAUGCUCUCAGCUUACUGGAAAAUCGAGCCGCAGGCUCGAGGCUGGACUUUAAGGCAGAGCACUGCAAUUAUAGUGCUAUGGCCUUGGCUUCCUUUCUCAUCACCCAGGUACAGUCCUGCAGUCCUCAGAGGAUGCCAGUCCCACACAGGGGGAUCCUUCUCCAUAGGAAAACCGAGGAACAAUGCAGGUUCGAGGUGCACAGUGGCUAAGCACACUCAGUCCUCAAGAUCUUUCCUCUCAAAUGCUAAUGCUACCUUCAGAUGGGCUGCUGCCUGCUACCAUUUCAACAUUGAGUCCUUUAAGAUGCCAUCAGAGAGAGGGGAAGCAAGAGGCCAAGAAAAAUGAAAGGAGUUAAGAGUAAACCAUACUCCGGGCAACCAUCACCCCAAAAGGGAGACAACCAGACCUUCUGUGCCUCCCAAUGAAAGUCCACAUUCAACACCACCUACGAAGGAUUCUUACCAAAGACACCAAAACUGAACUCAGGCAACCCUCCAGAUAUAACUACCAAUUUGCAGAAAAUAAAAGGGAUAGAAGAACACAAAGAUGCAAUCAGCAAAAUUCAGACAGGACAAGCAAUAUUUUUUUCAAGAAGAAGAAGAAAAUUGAGGGAGUCUGGAAGAGAUGUAGAGUAAACUGGUAGAGUGAGACACUUAAGGGAUGCAUGAGUUCAGAACAAAGUGUAGACCUCGUUGGGAUCCCAGUUCAGGCAAGCAAAUCUUAAAAUGUUCAUGAGACUGUUGGAGGAAGGCAAACACAGAUAGCAUAGGUGUUGACAUUAAAGAAAUCUUAAUUU
Molecule: long non-coding RNA, 2135 nt
Organism: Homo sapiens (human)
Lineage: Eukaryota; Metazoa; Chordata; Mammalia; Primates; Hominidae
Product: long intergenic non-protein coding RNA 1622
Source: Ensembl